GUUGGGAAUAUUGGACAAUGGAGGAAACUCUGAUCCAGUGACGCCGCGUGAAGGAAGAAGGUCUUCGGAUUGUAAACUUAUUUUGUCAGGGAAGAAUAAAUGACUGUACCUGAAGAAAAAGCACCGGCUAACUACGUGCCAGCAGCCGCGGUAAUACGUAGGGUGCAAGCGUUAUCCGGAUUUACUGGGUGUAAAGGGCGAGUAGACGGCGAUGCAAGUCAGAUGUGAAAUGCUAGGGCUUAACCUUAGAACUGCAUCUGAAACUGUAUUGCUAGAGUGCAGGAGAGGUAAACGGAAUUCCUAGUGUAGCGGUGAAAUGCGUAGAUAUUAGGAGGAACAUCAGUGGCGAAGGCGGUUUACUGGACUGUAACUGACGUUGAGGCGCGAAAGCGUGGGGAGCAAACAGGAUUAGAAACCCUAGUAGUCC
RNAcentral lists this ribosomal RNA (427 nucleotides) under uncultured bacterium. Its description in RNAcentral is "bacterial SSU rRNA". It matches the Rfam family "Bacterial small subunit ribosomal RNA", at positions 354 to 796 of the family's 1533-position model. The record is from RNAcentral.